This 861-nucleotide ribosomal RNA is filed under the name uncultured bacterium. RNAcentral describes it as "bacterial SSU rRNA". It matches the Rfam family "Bacterial small subunit ribosomal RNA", at positions 518 to 1378 of the family's 1533-position model. The record is from RNAcentral.
CGGUAAUACGGAGGGUGCAAGCGUUAAUCGGAAUUACUGGGCGUAAAGCGUGCGUAGGCGGUUUAUUAAGUCAGAUGUGAAAGCCCCGGGCUUAACCUGGGAACUGCAUUUGAAACUGGUCAACUAGAGUAUGGUAGAGGAAAGUGGAAUUUCUGGUGUAGCGGUGAAAUGCGUAGAUAUCAGAAGGAACAUCAAUGGCGAAGGCAGCUUUCUGGACCAAUACUGACGCUGAGGUACGAAAGCGUGGGUAGCAAACAGGAUUAGAUACCCUGGUAGUCCACGCCGUAAACGAUGAUAACUAGCCGUUGGGGGGAUUUACCCUUUAGUGGCGAAGCUAACGCGUUAAGUUAUCCGCCUGGGGAGUACGGCCGCAAGGCUAAAACUCAAAGGAAUUGACGGGGACCCGCACAAGCGGUGGAGCAUGUGGUUUAAUUCGAUGCAACGCGAAGAACCUUACCUGGUCUUGACAUCCUGCGAACUUUCUAGAAAUAGAUUGGUGCCUUCGGGAACGCAGUGACAGGUGCUGCAUGGCUGUCGUCAGCUCGUGUCGUGAGAUGUUGGGUUAAGUCCCGUAACGAGCGCAACCCCUAUCCUUAUUUGCCAGCACAUUAUGGUGGGAACUAUAAGGAGACUGCCGGUGAUAAACCGGAGGAAGGCGGGGACGACGUCAAGUCAUCAUGGCCCUUUCGUGCAGGGCUACACACGUGUUCCAAUGGGAAGGACAAAGAGCCAAGAAGCCGCGAGGUGGAGAUAAUCUCAUAAAUCUUUAUUUAGUCCGGGCGGGAGUGUGCUACUCGACUCCAAGAAGUGGGAAUCGCUAGUAAUCGUAGAUCAGAAUGCUACGGUGAAUACGUUCCCGGG